GACGAACGCUGGCGGCGUGCUUAACACAUGCAAGUCGAACGGAAAGGCCCUGCUUUUGUGGGGUGCUCGAGUGGCGAACGGGUGAGUAACACGUGUGUAACCUGCCCUUGACUUUGGGAUAACUUCAGGAAACUGGGGCUAAUACCGGAUAGGAGCUCCUGCUGCAUGGUGGGGGUUGGAAAGUUUCGGCGGUUGGGGAUGGACUCGCGGCUUAUCAGCUUGUUGGUGGGGUAGUGGCUUACCAAGGCUUUGAGGGGUAGCCGGCCUGAGAGGGGGACCGGCCACAUUGGGACUGAGAUACGGCCCAGACUCGUACGGGAGGCAGCAGUGGGGAAUAUUGCACAAUGGGCGGAAGCCUGAGGCAGCAACGCCGGGUGCAGGAUGACGGCCUUCGGGUUGUAAACCGCUUUCGCCUGUGACGAAGCGUGAGUGACGGUAAUGGGUAAAGAAGCACCGGCUAACUACGUG
Molecule: ribosomal RNA, 468 nt
Filed under: uncultured bacterium
Lineage: Bacteria
Description: partial 16S ribosomal RNA
Rfam family: Bacterial small subunit ribosomal RNA
Source: RNAcentral